Carya illinoinensis is the source of this 804-nucleotide long non-coding RNA. RefSeq lists it as uncharacterized. Lineage: Eukaryota; Viridiplantae; Streptophyta; Magnoliopsida; Fagales; Juglandaceae. The transcript is spliced from 4 exons. The record is from RefSeq and is a predicted model, not a curated record.
CCGAAAAUCCCCAUAUUUAAUCCCCAUAUUAUACCAUACGGUGCGUUUAAUGGAAAUUAGGUUAACUACUAACUAGUUUUAUUUUUUUCUCCUCUCCUCAGUCAGUCCAUGCCUCUUCUCUGCCCUAGACCCUGCUGCGCCGACUUCCCUCUCUUCUUCUUCUUCUUCUUCUUUUCUUCUUCUUCAGUCUUCAGACUUUGGUUCUUCUUCAUAGUCACUGCCGUGUUGCAUCUUGGUGGGUCUUCCACUUCGGUUCUUUAGCACUCUUCCACGCACAACCCUCGCCGACGCCGUGAACCUCCCCUCAUGCAGCAAUCUUUGGUUUCCUUCUCAUUGCCACCUACUUCAUCAUUAUGGAUCAAUCAAAUGAAACACCUGAUAAUGUGAGACCUUCUAUGGAAAGGAUUCAAAAGACCAUGGAAUCAACGGCGACUAAUGAUCCACUUUCUCCACCCUCUAAUAGCUCAUGGAAGCCUUAGGGAGUUCUUCAAGAUCCACUUUUUUGGUUGGAGAUCAUUAAAUUUAAGGUUUGUCGAAUGGACUAUUGGAGUUGGUGGCUUCGUGCAUAGCUAUUACUAUUAGCUAUUUGUUCUAGUUAUAAAGUUUUUUAUUAGAUGUUCUUGUAAUUUGAACUUCUAAUUUAGAUUUAUAAAUUGGACUUGUAAUUUGUUGGACUUUUGGAUUUGUAAUUUAUUAGACUUUUUGAUUUGUACUUUAGACUUUUGGUAUUUGGAUUUGUAAUUUGUUAGACUUUUGGACUUGUAAUUUAGACUUUUGGAAUUUGGACUUGUAAUUUAUUGGACU